UACGGAGGGGGCAAGCGUUGUUCGGAAUUACUGGGCGUAAAGCGCACGUAGGCGGACUGGUCAGUUGGGGGUGAAAUCCCGAGGCUUAACCUCGGAACUGCCUUCAAUACUGCCAGUCUUGAGAUCGGAAGAGGUGAGUGGAAUUCCUAGUGUAGAGGUGAAAUUCGUAGAUAUUAGGAAGAACACCAGUGGCGAAGGCGGCUCACUGGUCCGAUACUGACGCUGAGGUGCGAAAGCGUGGGGAGCGAACAGG
RNAcentral lists this ribosomal RNA (253 nucleotides) under uncultured Pseudomonadota bacterium. Its description in RNAcentral is "uncultured proteobacterium partial 16S ribosomal RNA". It matches the Rfam family "Bacterial small subunit ribosomal RNA", at positions 524 to 776 of the family's 1533-position model. Lineage: Bacteria; Pseudomonadati; Pseudomonadota. The record is from RNAcentral.